GGCGGUGCGAGGGCGGCUGCACAGUGAGCAGAGCAGCGGUCCGGACGGCAGCGUGUUCCCCGAGCUCUUCGCCUCUCCCCGCCCGCCAGCCGAGGCAACUAGAACCCAGCGGCCCCAGCAGCAGCGCCAUGGCUGGGUGGAACGCCUACAUCGACAACCUCACGGUGGACGGGACCUGUCAGGACGCGGCCAUCGUGGGCUACAAGGACUCGCCCUACGUCUGGGCCGCUGUCCCUGCGAAAACCUUUGUCAACAUCACGCCAGCUGAGGUUGGUGUCCUGGUUGGCAAAGACCGGUCAAGUUUUUACGUGAAUGCGCUGACACUUGGGGGCCAGAAGAGUUCGAUUAUCUGGGACUCACUGCUGCAGGAUGGGGAAUUUAGCAUGGAUCUUCAUACCAAGAGCACUGGUGGAGCCCCCACCUUCAAUGUUACUGUCACUGUCACCAAGACUGACAAGACGCUAGUCCUGCUGAUGGGCAAAGAAGGUGUCCACGGUGGUUUGAUCAACAAGAAAUGUUAUGAAAUGGCCUCCUACCUUCGGUGUGCCCAGUACUGACCUCGUCUGUCCCUUCCCCUUCACUGCUCCCCACAGUUUUGCACCCUUUUCCUCCCCAUACACACAACACCGUUUUGUUUUUGGGGCCAUUACCCCACACUCCUUAUUGCUGCCAAAACCACAUGCGCUGGGGGCCAGGGCUGGAUAGACAGACACCUCCCCCUACCCAUACCCCUCCUGUGUGUGGUUGGAAAACUUUUUUGUUUUUUGGGUUGGUUUUUUUUUUUUUUUUUCUGAAUAAAAAAGAUUAUAC
Sapajus apella (tufted capuchin) is the source of this 810-nucleotide RNA transcript. It is a transcript of the gene named profilin-1 pseudogene, with no coding region annotated. The record is from RefSeq and is a predicted model, not a curated record. NCBI's taxonomy places the organism in Eukaryota, Metazoa, Chordata, Mammalia, Primates, Cebidae. The transcript has a single exon.